UGUGCUCUCUGCCCUCUUCGAGUUCACAGCCUAGUGGCUGGGACUGAGGGGGGCGGGGGCGGGCAAGUGAAGGAGGCAUAUGCAUACACCCUUGAUGGAUAAAACAGAAUAAAACAUGUUUUCGACAGAGGCACACGGAAAAGGCCAAGAGGGAAGAGGAGCAAUUAAUUCUCCAAAAAGUUCAAGACAGCCUUCGUGGAUAUAGUGACAUUUGAACAAGACCUUGAAGAAGCAUUUCAGGAGGAAGAAAGAAGGAAGUUGACUUAGGUUGGGAUCUCUGGGACCAGACUUUGGAAUGGAGAAAUGCAUGCAGAAGCUUCAGUGAGACGUACGGAAAUGAAGAAGGCAGGAAUGGGCAGACAGAGAAGUUGGCUGGAAACCUGAUGGCCCCUGCAGCCUCUGUCUUUCCUGUGGGAGGCAAGGUCAUGUGAGGACAUAGUGAGAGAUGGCCAUCUGGAAGCCAGAAACUAAAUCGUUUCAUAUGCUGAACUUGAACUUCCCAGUCUCCAGAACCAACUACUCUUAGGAUCUCCAGAUGCAAGAUGAAAUUAUUGGUGAACACCAUCACGAGGCACACCAGGACAACACCCAUGAGGGGAGGACCAGGCCUCUGACCAAGUCAAGAUCAGUGUAUUUCGAAGUAUCAUGGACUCCCUGUUCCGGCCCUUCAAUGCCUUCAUCUCCAUGACCAACUUCCAGGAGCUGUCGGCCUGUGUCUUCAGCUGGAUUGAAGAGCACUGCAAGCCACAGGCCAUGGGAGAUCGUGACUGGCGUCUAGCACCAAUUGAAAAACCAGCUUUACUGACCAGUUCUUGUAAAUCUGCAGAACAGCAAACAAGAGGCCCCUGAGUCUCCAUUUUGCCACUGAGCACUGGACCCAUGAGAUUGUACUGCAACAGCUCACCUUGGUCAGAUUGUUUAGCUUGGUGUUUGUGUUUUUUCAGCCCCAUUGUAUCUUCAGCAGGGCUGGGGUGUUUGUUUUGUGAAAGCUUUUGAUUAAUUUGCUAUAUUGACCAUAAAACUCAAACUUACCCAAUCCUUCCCCUCCCCAUGGAAGUCCUUGGGAUGGGAGUCUGCCCUUGACACCCCAAAGAGCUCAUGGCUUCUCAGCCCUUUCUCCAAGCCUCAGAUUUCUGCUCAUGAUCUACAUAUAUUUGGAAACUGUUUGCCUCUGUUUUGGUCUCUUGGGCAACAUUUCGCCUAAGUUUGGCCAUUUUGGCAGUA
This is a non-coding RNA of Chlorocebus sabaeus (green monkey), 1224 nucleotides long. NCBI's taxonomy places the organism in Eukaryota, Metazoa, Chordata, Mammalia, Primates, Cercopithecidae. The record is from RefSeq and is a predicted model, not a curated record.